RNAcentral lists this ribosomal RNA (1210 nucleotides) under uncultured bacterium. Its description in RNAcentral is "bacterial SSU rRNA". It matches the Rfam family "Bacterial small subunit ribosomal RNA", at positions 273 to 1502 of the family's 1533-position model. The record is from RNAcentral.
CUAUUGAGCGCCUUAGGGAGGUGAGAGAGGCCUGACCCCCACGAUGACUGAGAAACGUCAUAACUACCGGUGCGGCAGUCGAGAAUCUCGCAUGACGAAAGUCUGACCGGAGGCGACGCGCGUGAUGAUGAGUCCUUUGGGACGUAAACAUCUUUUAUGAGGGAGGAGUUUAUGACGUACUCAUGAAUAAGGGGCUCCUAAUCUCGUGCAGCAGGAGCGGUAAUACGAGAGCCCCGAGCGUUAUCCGGGAUUUAUUGGGCGUAAAGGGUGCGCAGGCGGUCAUAUUAGUCUCAUGUUAAAUCUCCCGGCUCAACCGGGAACAAGCGUGGGAAACGGUAUGACUAGAGGAUGUAAGAGGUGUGCGGAACUCUUGGUGUAGGGGUGAAAUCCGUUGAUAUCAAGGGGAACACCAAAUGCGAAGGCAGCACACUGGUACAUUUCUGACGCUCAGGCACGAAAGCGUGGGUAGCGAAUGGGAUUAGAUACCCCAGUAGUCCAUGCCCUAAACGAUGUUCUCUUGUUUUUGGGAGUAUCGACCCUCUCAGAGACGAAGCUAACGCGAUAAGAGAACCGCCUGGGGAGUACGGCCGCAAGGCUAAAACUCAAAGGAAUAGACGGGGACUUGCACAAGCGGUGGAUCAUGUGGUUUAAUUCGACGAUAAACGAAGAACCUUACCAGGGUUUGAAACCGUGACGACAUCCCGAAGAAACUUGGGACUCCCGCAAGGGCGGCACGGCAGGUGAUGCAUGGUCGUCGUCAGUUCGUGGCUUGAGCUGUUCCCUUAAGUGGGCAAACGAACGCAACCCUCGUUGUCUGUUUUAUAUGUCAGGCAAGACUGCCCCCUCUGUGCGCACAAAGUUAUACUUUGUGAAUACAGAGGGGGGAGGAAGGAGAGGAUGACGCCAGAUCAGCAUGUCCCUCUGAUACCCUGGGCCACACACGUGAUACAAUGGUUGGUACAAUAGGCUGCGACAGGGUAACCUUGAGCUAAUCCUAAAAACCAACCUCAGUUCGGAUUGAGGUCUGAAACUCGACCUCAUGAAGCUGGAAUCGCUAGUAAUCGCGGGUCAGCCAUACCGCGGUGAAUACGUUCUCAAGUCUUGUACUCACCGCCCGUCAAUGCAAGGGAGCUGGUAGUACCCGAAGUUCUGUUUUAUACAGACCUACGGUAAGAUCAGUGACAAGGCAUAAGUCGUAACAAGGUAACCG